This 484-nucleotide ribosomal RNA is filed under the name uncultured bacterium. RNAcentral describes it as "bacterial SSU rRNA". It matches the Rfam family "Bacterial small subunit ribosomal RNA", at positions 28 to 526 of the family's 1533-position model. The record is from RNAcentral.
GACGAACGCUGGCGGCGUGCUUAACACAUGCAAGUCGAGCGGUAAGGCCCUUCGGGGUACACGAGCGGCGAACGGGUGAGUAACACGUGAGCAAUCUGCCCUCCACAUCGGGAUAACCCCCGGAAACGGGAGCUAAUACCGGAUACGACCACUUCAGGCAUCGAUGGUGGUGGAAAGUUCCGGGGGUGGAGGAUGAGCUCGCGGCCUAUCAGCUUGUUGGUGAGGUAACGGCCCACCAAGGCUUCGACGGGUAGCCGGCCUGAGAGGGUGACCGGCCACACUGGGACUGAGACACGGCCCAGACUCCUACGGGAGGCAGCAGUGGGGAAUAUUGGACAAUGGGCGAAAGCCUGAUCCAGCAACGCCGCGUGAGGGAUGACGGCCUUCGGGUUGUAAACCUCUUUCAGCGCAGACGAAGCGAAAGUGACGGUAUGCGCAGAAGAAGCACCGGCCAACUACGUGCCAGCAGCCGCCGCCGUAACAC